RNAcentral lists this ribosomal RNA (301 nucleotides) under uncultured bacterium. Its description in RNAcentral is "partial 16S ribosomal RNA". It matches the Rfam family "Bacterial small subunit ribosomal RNA", at positions 509 to 807 of the family's 1533-position model. The record is from RNAcentral.
CAGCCGCCACGGGAAUACGAAGGGUGCAAGCGUUAAUCGGAAUUACUGGGCGUAAAGCGUGCGUAGGCGGUGAGUUAAGUCUGCUGUGAAAUCCCCGGGCUCAACCUGGGAAUGGCAGUGGAUACUGGCUCGCUAGAGUGUGUCAGAGGAUGGCGGAAUUCCCGGUGUAGCGGUGAAAUGCGUAGAGAUCGGGAGGAACAUCAGUGGCGAAGGCGGCCAUCUGGGACAACACUGACGCUGAGGCACGAAAGCGUGGGGAGCAAACAGGAUUAGAUACCCCCGUAGUCCCUGUCUCUUAUAC